UACAUGAGUGGCUAGCGUUACUCGUAGUUACUGAGCGUACAGGAUGCGUAGACUGUUUAAACGCAAAAAAUAAACUAAAUUAUUUGUAUUAAAUUUAUUUUUUGCAAAUAAAACUUGAAUAUUUUAAAAGUUUAUAAUUGUUACAAAUGAGUGAUAAAAUACUGAGAGUUAGUAAUUAUUUCCAAUUGGUGAAGACAUUAUGCUAUAAAAUAUUGACGUUGAUGCAUUAAAGUAUAGUUAACAACUAGGAUUUGAGACCCUACUAGUCUAUACCUUAAAAGAUGAGUAUUAGAAAGCUAACGCGUAAAUACUCCGCUUGGGCAGUACGAUUGCAAAAUCGAAACUUAACUGAAUUGGCGGGAAUUUGUUUGAACGGUGGAGCAUGUGGUUUAAAGCGAUAAUCCGCGCAAAAUCUUACCAGCGUCGUGUCUAAUAUAAUAUAAUUAAUUUUAUUAUAAAAAAAUAUUAGCUAUAGGUACUGCAUGGCUGUCGUCAGUUCGUGCUUUAUGGCGUAGAAUUUAGUUUCUAUAACGAAUGUAACCCGUUUUAUAUUAUUUUUUAUAUAUUGUAAUAUAUAAUUUAAAUAUAAAUCUUUGACAAAUUAUUUAAAAAUAUAAUGUCUGAAGGGUUUGUGGCUGAAGUCAAGUCUUUAUGGUCUUUAUAUGUUGGGCUACACACGUGUUACAAAGAUAAAAACAAAGAGAUACGAAAAGUUAAUUUGUAGUUAAUCUUUAAAAAUUAUCAUAGUUCGAAUUGUUUUCUGAAAUUCGAAAACAUGAAGGUGAAAUCGUUAGUAAUCGUAGAUUAGUACGCUACGGUGAAUAUAACAUCAAAUUC
This 837-nucleotide ribosomal RNA is filed under the name uncultured bacterium. Its description in RNAcentral is "bacterial SSU rRNA". It matches the Rfam family "Bacterial small subunit ribosomal RNA", at positions 524 to 1381 of the family's 1533-position model. The record is from RNAcentral.